GACGAACGCUGGCGGCGUGCUUAACACAUGCAAGUCGAACGGAAAGGCCCUGCUUUUGUGGGGUGCUCGAGUGGCGAACGGGUGAGUAACACGUGAGUAACCUGCCCUUGACUUUGGGAUAACUUCAGGAAACUGGGGCUAAUACCGGAUAGGAGCUCCUGCUGCAUGGUGGGGGUUGGAAAUUUUCGGCGGUUGGGGAUGGACUCUCGGCUUAUCAGCUUGUUGGUGGGGUAGUGGCUUACCAAGGCUUUGACGGGUAGCCGGCCUGAGAGGGUGACCGGCCACAUUGGGACUGAGAUACGGCCCAGACUCCUACGGGAGGCAGCAGUGGGGAAUAUUGCACAAUGGGCGGAAGCCUGAUGCAGCAACGCCGCGUGCGGGAUGACGGCCUUCGGGUUGUAAACCGCUUUCGCCUGUGACGAAGCGUGAGUGACGGUAAUGGGUAAAGAAGCACCGGCUAACUACGUG
RNAcentral lists this ribosomal RNA (468 nucleotides) under uncultured bacterium. RNAcentral describes it as "partial 16S ribosomal RNA". It matches the Rfam family "Bacterial small subunit ribosomal RNA", at positions 28 to 507 of the family's 1533-position model. The record is from RNAcentral.